Non-coding RNA from Salvia hispanica, 642 nucleotides. NCBI's taxonomy places the organism in Eukaryota, Viridiplantae, Streptophyta, Magnoliopsida, Lamiales, Lamiaceae. The record is from RefSeq and is a predicted model, not a curated record.
AGAAACACAAGCUUGGAUUUCCACAUCUUCACUCAUUCUUUUCGUUAGCAAACUAAAGUUAGCUGAUCACCAUUUAGCUGAGUUUUCAAUUUCAUUUUCUACUCUAGAGGAUAUAAACGCUCUUAAAUCGGAGCUGGCUCUGUUUUGAGAGGCAACUCAUUAGAGUCACUGAAGCACCAAAUAAUCUAUGGUGUUUACAGCGCUUUACGUUGCCGAUACAAACCUAACGGUGGUGCUGAGAUUCUGGCAACGGCUUCUUUCCGAUGGAGCUUCUGCAUUCAGAUGCGCCUACAUCUAAACUAAUUCCACUCAAUUUCAACGUUUCUUCACAUUUUGAUGCUCAAUAAAUCGAAGUAAAAUAGCCGCGCAGGAGAAUCGAUGUAAGGAUUAAGAGAUCUAUACUAAAUCGAUUGAAAUUUGUUCAGAUUUUUUUGUGCGCAGUCUCUAAAUCUGGAUCUGAGAUCUCCUAUGGUAGUUUUUCUUUGAAUUUGUUGUUUGGAGAAAGGCAACUCAUUAGAGUCACUGAUGCACUAAAGAAUUAAUGGUGUUUACAGCGCUUUACGUUGCCGAUACAAACUUCACGGUGGUGCUGAGAUUCUGGCAUUAGAUUCUGGCAUCGGCUUCUUUUGUGAUGAAGCUUAU